GUUGUUUUGAUGCACUAAAUAUAUUUUGAUGAAUGUAUUAUCACCCUUGUCUGUUGUUGUGUGUGUGUCACAUUGUCGGUACUCGUGGGGGUACAUACAGGUUGAGGAGCUCUAGUUACGGGGUAUCUGGAAGGUGACGUUGGAAGAUUUUCUUCAGUCUUUAAUUAUUUUUGAGAACUAUGUAGACGAAUACGGGCUCUGAUUCUGUAACACUGGGGUUGGG
This 223-nucleotide long non-coding RNA is filed under the name Medicago truncatula (barrel medic). Its description in RNAcentral is "long non-coding RNA (MTRU_LNC008688)". The record is from RNAcentral. Lineage: Eukaryota; Viridiplantae; Streptophyta; Magnoliopsida; Fabales; Fabaceae.